Long non-coding RNA from Mastomys coucha (southern multimammate mouse), 1525 nucleotides. RefSeq lists it as uncharacterized. The record is from RefSeq and is a predicted model, not a curated record. Lineage: Eukaryota; Metazoa; Chordata; Mammalia; Rodentia; Muridae. The transcript is spliced from 5 exons.
AAAGAACUAGGUCUGUAAACAUCCUGGCCUUUUGCCUAAUCCACUGUUGAGAGCUGUUGAGAGCAGACUUGUAAUGAACACAAAGGGUCCAGAAUUUGCCUUUGCUUUCUUUGGACAAGUUAAUUCCUUUUUCAAAACCUCUGAAACGGAUCCACUCGAGAUUCCGCGCACUAGCCUAACGCAUCCUGCUUUCUUGACCCUGCUGGCGGCCACCGUCAAGCUCCAGUGACGUGGGAUGCCACUCAAGACCCAGGCCUUAUCCCAAGCUCUCAUUUAGGCCCAGGUCGAGCGCCUGGAUUCUCUACCGCCUCCCUCUUCUCCCCGACUGGGAUCGGUCAGGGUCGGCUAAUGGGGUUUGAAAGCUCCCAGAACUGCAGCCUCUAGAAGUCCAAUGCGCUAUCCAUUGCGCCACGGAGCCACCUGUUGGAGUUUCCGCGCAUCUGCCGUAUUAAGCCAGAGGCGGGCGGGCCGGCUCCCUCCCGGUCGCCUCCCGUCGCCGGAGUCCAGCCGCCGUGCCUAAGACGCUUCCAACGUUUUAUCGGUAUUGACAGAACACGUGUGGACUAUGGACGACGAAGGCAGUAGCCAGAGGCUCAGCACGUUUACGUUGGGUCCCUGAACCCGGAUUCUCUGAGGAACAAGGCAUGUGGGUCCCAGAUGGCAUGCUUGCACACAAAAUGGUUUUCAUUAUAGGAGAGGACUGCUGAGCUCAGAAACUACAAUGUUUUAGGGCGAGCGGUAAGCAAGCCUGUUCUUUGUUCUGCAGGGAGACAUUACCUCAUCUCUCAGAACUGCUCCCUGCAAACACAAUUCUGAAAAAGGGCCCAAAGAAAGUGAUCAGUCUUGCGUUCUUGGCACAAUCAAGAAGAGCAUGAAAUGACACUGAUGGUGAAUUGCGUCUACAAACAGUGACAGAGUUCUGUCUGACGCCAGGCCGAUUUCAUUCCAUAAGAACGCUUUCCUUAACAACAAGGAUCUUAAACUUUGUUAUGCCGCUUAAAAUGGGCAAUACCCCUUACAAUACAAUACAACAAAACCCAGCUAUUUAUAAACAGAAUCUUUACUGAAGGCUGCAAUGUGCCACACACUAAUAACAUCUUAAAUGCUCCAGUGGUUCUUAAACUUGUUUACAGCUCAAGUAGGGAAAGAGACGCUCAAUGCUCUGUUCGAAAACCAUGCACAGAGAUUUUGCCUGGAGGCAUUGGUGCAAAAAAUUCUGAGACGUCAUUGAUGUGCUUAGCGAUUGUGACUCAUAUUCAGAAGUUCUGAGGAAGGGAACAGAAAAGCAUAUGCUAAGCAAAGAUGUGCAGCUGCCAGGGCCAAGAGGAGUCACUCAGUGUAGACUGCUUUCUUAGCGUGUAUGAGAAACCGUGUCUACCUCCAGCAUCACCACCAACAAGCCAAAAUGGCCACUCAUCACUUCCUUAAAAGGAUGACUGACCUGCGAUGCUCUGCAUCCUUUAGUUUUUGAGAAACAGCGAUUUUCCUCCUAUUUUUCUCUCAUUAAAAUUUGAUUUUUUCACAA